RNAcentral lists this non-coding RNA (179 nucleotides) under Anaerolineae bacterium. Its description in RNAcentral is "6S RNA". It matches the Rfam family "6S / SsrS RNA". Rfam says of the family: E. coli 6S RNA was the first non coding RNA to be sequenced, but its function was unknown until recently. Lineage: Bacteria; Bacillati; Chloroflexota; Anaerolineae. The record is from RNAcentral.
GGCACCCUGCUGUGUUCGUGAUGCCACUCUUAUAGGCGCUGAGCCAACACUCUUUAGAGCGGGUGCCGACUUACGUAAGGGACGCGAUAGGCUGGAGCCAAGGCGAAACUUCCGGGAAGGUACCCACCCUGCGCAAGCAGGUUCAGACCUGAGUGGACACACGGCAUGGCGGGGUUUUG